GAUGAACGCUAGCGGCAGGCUUAAUACAUGCAAGUCGUGGGGCAGCGCAGGUAGCAAUACUGGGCGGCGACCGGCAAACGGGUGCGGAACACGUACACAACCUUCCGAGAAGUGGGGAAUAGCCCAGAGAAAUUUGGAUUAAUACCCCCGUAACAUAACGAUGUGGCAUCACAUUGUUAUUAUAGCGUCGGCGCUUCUCGAUGGGUGUGCGGCUGAUUAGAUAGUUGGCGGGGUAACGGCCCACCAAGUCUACGAUCAGUAGCUGAUGUGAGAGCAUGAUCAGCCACACGGGCACUGAGACACGGGCCCGACUCCUACGGGGAGGCAGCAGUAAGGAAUAUUGGGUCAAUGGACGCAAGUCUGAACCAGCCAUGCCGCGUGAAGGAUGAAGGUCCUCUGGAUUGUAAACUUCUUUUAUCUGGGACGAAAAAAAGGGAAUUCUUUCUCACUUGACGGUACCAGAGGAAUAAAGCACCGGCUAACUCCGUGCCAGCAGCCGACGG
This 503-nucleotide ribosomal RNA is filed under the name uncultured bacterium. RNAcentral describes it as "bacterial SSU rRNA". It matches the Rfam family "Bacterial small subunit ribosomal RNA", at positions 28 to 520 of the family's 1533-position model. The record is from RNAcentral.